CCUACGGGAGGCAGCAGUGGGGGAUAUUGCACAAUGGGGGAAACCCUGAUGCAGCGACGCCGCGUGGGUGAAGAAGCGCCUCGGCGCGUAAAGCCCUGUCAGCAGGGGAGAAAAUGAAGGUACCUGAAGAAGAAGCCGCGGCUAACUACGUGCCAGCAGCCGCGGUAAUACGGAGGGGGCAAGCGUUAGCCGGAUUUACUGGGUGUAAAGGGGGCGCAGACGGCGAUGCAAGCCAGGAGUGAAAGGCCGGGGCCCAACCCCGGGACUGCUCUUGGAACUGCGUGGCUAGAGUGCAGGAGGGGCAGGCGGAAUUCCUGGUGUAGCAGUGAAAUGCGUAGAUAUCAGGAGGAACACCGGUGGCGAAGGCGGCCUGCUGGACUGCAACUGACGUUGAGGCCCGAAAGCGUGGGGAGCAAACAGGAUUAGAUACCCCAGUAGUC
RNAcentral lists this ribosomal RNA (440 nucleotides) under uncultured bacterium. Its description in RNAcentral is "partial 16S ribosomal RNA". It matches the Rfam family "Bacterial small subunit ribosomal RNA", at positions 338 to 795 of the family's 1533-position model. The record is from RNAcentral.